GAGCCCCUCCCAACAGUCUUUUGCACGCCUGGCCCUGUCAGCACCGGCCCCGCCAGAGCAGCCUCUUCCUUGUUCCCCCAAAGAACAGGGGCGGCGGCCCCCCCCCCCCCCAGACUUCUCCAUUUCCCCAGGAUACUCCAAGCUCCUGUCUGAAUAAUUUGCUCCUGCCGCAUCCGGGCACCGGGCCUGCCCAGGCUCAGAGGCGGCAAUGCCAAAAUCCAUCCUCAUUCCAAAUGCCCCCCGAAAGGUCACCUCUCCAACCACCUGCCCCCUCCCCCCCGCCCGGAGGCUGAGGCGUGACCCUUAAGAGAGCGCAGAGCCCUGGGCUUCUAGCCCGGACCGAGUUCUGGGCACAGGGAGGACUGGAUUCCACUGCGUCUCCCUGAAGCUGUAGGACUCCCGCGACAGCCUGGAGCCAGGCUCUCUCAAGUCAUGUCAAGAGGCCAGUUUAAUCCGGGGCUCGAAGGUCCCUGUUACUGAUCAGAACAACUUGUCGGUGACCCUGAACAAGCUUCUUGACCUGCGUGCACCUCAGCUUCCCCAGGAAACAGAGAUGGCCACCAACCCUAAGGAUGCCGGAGCUGGAGGCGGGGUCCGGCCUCGUGCACUAUGGCUGUCUGGGUCAACAGCACAGCACACCCCCAGGCCUUGAACUCUGAACAGCGCCUCCACUGCUCCCUGAAGCCCCAGUGCCAGCCGCAGGGACCUGCAGCAGCUUCCCAGCGCCAUCCCCUCCAUCUCAGGCCACCUCUUGCCCUCUUCCCCUGCCUCUGAGCCCCUCGGCCGGUUCCUUCCUCCCCAUCCGGGGACAGGCUCAGGCUUCCAGGCACUUCCCCAUCAGAAACGCUCAGCUGCCCUUCACCCUUUGCUCCGGGAACCCAAACUCUCAAGGAACCCGCUCUCCCUCUCCUCCCCAUGGAAGCCACCGCGACCCAGCUCACUGUCCCUUGGUCCCCAGUGGGCACGGCUCCAGCCUCCUGUCUCUGGAGCCAGCCUCCUUCUCAUCCUGAAGAUCCUGCAGCCUGAUGAACUCUGAAACGCCUCAAGUCCCAGUUGCACAGAUUACCAGCCACGUGGCCCCCAAUUCCCCAAGCCGUCUGCACCGUGGUCUUUUCAUCCAAAGUCUGUUGAUAACCACACCUACACUUCGUAGGGCUGCUGGGGAGGACCAUGCUGUGAACCACAGGCUAGUUGUCGGGCCCAGGUCUCUCCGGGUGUGUGUGGGGGGUCUCUGCCUGUGUAAGCAAUCCGAGGAAGCGUGUUGGUUCAUACUGGUGGCUGACACAUCGCACGGUGGGAGUGACUGAUCGCCCUCCAGGAUGGCCAACCCAUCAACAGGGUCCCGGGGCUCCUGGAGACAACCGGCCAAUGCCGGGUGCAUGUAAAAGGGUCAGGAGAGGAGUGGGUCCAGGAUUGGGGUGCCCAGCCUGGAUGGCACUCUUGGCUCUGCUUCCGGCCCAGCCACCAGAGGCGAAGGAGAAGGCAGAGCAUGGACGGACCUUGAGCACGUGAGCUGUGAUUAUUUCCUGCUUCUUUCAGUUCCUUCUUCCCUUCAUCUCCCGGCCAACUUCCCUACACCCUCGCUCAGGCUGCGCGAUGGGGUUUGAGCCCCUGCCUUGACCUGCCGACUCUCAUUCUUCCCUCCCCGGGGCCUGUGCUGUCCUGUCGUGGUAGGAGCCAUCCACUCAGCGGGGCGGGGGGGGUGGGGGGGUGGGGGGGGGGGAGAAGUUCGGGGCAGAACCUGGCAGCAAGGUGGUCACUGUCCUCCGCAGGCUGUUUGUAAAGGAGAUGGGGUGGUCCUGGGGGCGCGGCCGUGAAGACGGUCGCCAGGCCACACAAGCCGCGGGACUCCCUCCCCAUCACCCUGCCGCCCCAGCCCAGUGCUUCUCAGUGGGGGUGGCGCUGGCCCCCAGGGGGACGUCUGGCAGCGUCUGGAGACAUUUCUGUCACAACCGAGGGGGUGCUACUGGCAUCGGGUGGGCGGAGGCUGGCGGGGCAACGCCUCAUCCUACAACCCAGAAUGAGCGGGCUCUGCGUGGGCCUCCGACCACUUGGGUUCCAGACACUCUGGGGAAGCGGACCAAGGCUCCAAGCCCUCUCCCCCGAGAAGAGUGCACAUGCGCACGUGCAGUUACGACACUUUACAACAGGAUCUCUGGAAGCGCUUGUAACCCCCCGCCCCGUGGUUGUCCGUCCAUCCAUCCCGGAGGAGAUUCCGGCUCUGCUGUGCUGCUGGUCUAGACGCCACAGUGAGGCACCCGCACUGGAGUCUGCCCUCCGCGCCCUCCUCGCCUUCCUCCUUUCAAACCAACAGGCUCAGGGGGAGUGAGACAGACAGGUGCUCUGUGAAAGAGAGGGAUCCGAGGUGUGAGGCCUCAGCUCUCGAACAGCGCCAGCCCUCGCAAGCAGGAUGCGCUCACCGGUGGGUAGCUGUCCCCAUGUCUCAGGCACAGUGGCAGGGAGGAGGUGACCACGAAGGUGACGGUGGUGUUCCCUAAGGCCCCAGAUCUGGAGCAUCAUCGCCCUGGUCCCACAGAGCUGGGCCUACCGAGAAGACACGGACGGACGAGGCUAUGGGGGCAGCUGGGCCCCACGUGACCGUGAUCGAGUCACUCUACUUGCCGGACCUGUUACCUCAUCUGAAGGAGAGGGGAGUCCUCGCACUCUUCACCAGCACCCUUCCAGCGGGGAUGGGGUUCUCGCCUCUGUCCUCCGCCAUCCUCGGGGCCAUCCUAUCGACCCUUCGCCCCUCCAAAGCUCCACAAACAUCCCCUCGACACAUAAAUCAAAAUGAAAAGCUACAAAGGACGCUGCUUAUAACAAGGUUUUAAUAAAAUAAAAAGUUCAAGUGCUUUCAA
Long non-coding RNA from Leopardus geoffroyi (Geoffroy's cat), 2858 nucleotides. RefSeq lists it as uncharacterized. The record is from RefSeq and is a predicted model, not a curated record. The transcript is spliced from 4 exons. NCBI's taxonomy places the organism in Eukaryota, Metazoa, Chordata, Mammalia, Carnivora, Felidae.